GUGUAGCCCAGUGGAUAAGGCGUCAGACUUCGAAUCUGAAAAGCGCGGGUUCGAAUCCCGUCA
Molecule: transfer RNA, 63 nt
Filed under: Tiarina fusus
Lineage: Eukaryota; Ciliophora; Prostomatea; Prorodontida; Colepidae
Description: Tiarina fusa tRNA
Rfam family: tRNA
About the family: Transfer RNA (tRNA) molecules are approximately 80 nucleotides in length. Their secondary structure includes four short double-helical elements and three loops (D, anti-codon, and T loops).
Source: RNAcentral